UGGGGAAUAUUGGACAAUGGAGGAAACUCUGAUCCAGCAAUUCUGUGUGUGUGAAGAAGGUUUUAGGACUGUAAAACACUUUUAGUAGGGAAGAAAAAAAUGACGGUACCAACAGAAGAAGUGACGGCUAAAUACGUGCCAGCAGCCGCGGUAAUACGUAUGUCACGAGCGUUAUCCGGAUUUAUUGGGCGUAAAGCGCGUCUAGGUGGUUAUGUAAGUCUGAUGUGAAAAUGCAGGGCUCAACUCUGUAUUGCGUUGGAAACUGUAUAACUAGAGUACUGGAGAGGUAAGCGGAACUACAAGUGUAGAGGUGAAAUUCGUAGAUAUUUGUAGGAAUGCCGAUGGGGAAGCCAGCUUACUGGACAGAUACUGACGCUGAAGCGCGAAAGCGUGGGUAGCAAACAGG
This 406-nucleotide ribosomal RNA is filed under the name Verrucomicrobiota bacterium. RNAcentral's name for it is "Verrucomicrobia bacterium partial 16S ribosomal RNA". It matches the Rfam family "Bacterial small subunit ribosomal RNA", at positions 355 to 776 of the family's 1533-position model. The record is from RNAcentral. Lineage: Bacteria; Pseudomonadati; Verrucomicrobiota.